CAUUUUAAAGCAAUCUAAAAGACGCCCUGUGACGUCUUAGAACUCAAGGUAAAAAACACCCGAGGACAAGAAAUAUUUAGAUUUUUCGUAAAAUUCUCAAUCACAAGUAUAUCAGCGGGUGUAUUGUAUACAUUUUUAUGAAGCUCAAUCUGAUUUUACUUCAAUUUUGUGACGUCGUUCUUUUGGUGGAUUUUGUUUUUGUGUUUCUACUUCACGGACGCCUAUUUUGCUGCCCUCGAAGGAAUUCUUGCCUGGCAACCUUCCCUUCAUAACGAGGAUGUUGAUCCGUGUCUUCACCUUGCUGUUUGUAACACGACUGACCCAGAGCAUGCCAUACCUACCAGGCCCCCCACCCAGUGGUUCAAACGUCAAUAAACUAGGGGGUCACGAAGGGGGGCCACUCAGUGCAAUUUUGGCGCAUGGAGCUAUACAACGACAAGCAGCAUCGCCAAUAGGCGAAGUCCUCCUACCGCAAACACGAGGUUGUCACCCUCUUCACGAUAUAGCAAAUGCAAAAAACGACACCAGUGCUAAAGAAAGACUGGCAGUGGACACAAAACUAACGUACACGUGCAAUACAGGUUAUGAGCAAACAGGGGGCGACCAGGUCAGAACAUGUAAUGUGGAUUCGAAAUGGUCCGGAGUAGACAUUGAAUGCACAAUAAUUAGUUGUGCCAGCCUUAAUACC
Lineus longissimus is the source of this 688-nucleotide long non-coding RNA. RefSeq lists it as uncharacterized. The record is from RefSeq and is a predicted model, not a curated record. The transcript is spliced from 4 exons. Lineage: Eukaryota; Metazoa; Nemertea; Pilidiophora; Heteronemertea; Lineidae.